Apis mellifera (honey bee) is the source of this 221-nucleotide long non-coding RNA. RefSeq lists it as uncharacterized. The transcript has 2 exons. The record is from RefSeq and is a predicted model, not a curated record. Lineage: Eukaryota; Metazoa; Arthropoda; Insecta; Hymenoptera; Apidae.
AUGAUUUUGGUGAUGCAAGUUAUAUAAUAACAGAGUAUUUUUAUAAAAUUAGUAUAUACUAGCUACAUUUGAACAUUGCACAAAUAAUACUAGAUUUAUAUCAACAAAAUAUAGUUCUUUUAUAUAUUAGGACCAAUAGGUUUGGCUUGUGUUCUACGUCGUGCUAACUCGGACAUGACAACAGGGCCAAUAUGAGGUGAUCUUGGACUGCUAGACAUUGC